RNAcentral lists this ribosomal RNA (447 nucleotides) under uncultured bacterium. RNAcentral's name for it is "bacterial SSU rRNA". It matches the Rfam family "Bacterial small subunit ribosomal RNA", at positions 355 to 825 of the family's 1533-position model. The record is from RNAcentral.
UCGGGAAUUUUGGGCAAUGGGCGAAAGCCUGACCCAGCAACGCCGCGUGAAGGAUGAAGUCUCUCGGGAUGUAAACUUCGUAAGAAUAGGAAGAAUAAAUGACGGUACUAUUUAUAAGGUCCGGCUAACUACGUGCCAGCAGCCGCGGUAAUACGUAGGGACCAAGCGUUGUUCGGAUUUACUGGGCGUAAAGGGCGCGUAGGCGGCAAUUCAAGUCAUCUGUGAAAUCUCCGGGCUUAACUCGGAACGGUCAGAUGAUACUGCUUUGCUAGAGUGCAGAAGGGGCAAUCGGAAUUCUUGGUGUAGCGGUGAAAUGCGUAGAUAUCAAGAGGAACACCUGAGGUGAAGACGGGUUGCUGGGCUGACACUGACGCUGAGGUGCGAAAGCGUGGGGAGCAAACAGGAUUAGAUACCCCAGUAGUCCCUGAGCGGGCUGGCAAGGCGCAU